GUACCCGGUCCGGGUCGGCUGGGCUGCCCGCCGCUCCGCGCGCCCGGGCGGUCGCAGGUCGCGCCUGCUUUGGCCCCGGCGGGUUCGGCAUCCGAGCCUGGCAGGGGCCAAUAGAAAGUUUCCUACACUACUGAGGUUUAGGGGCACUGUGAAGCAAAAGCCACGCCUCAGAAUCCCAGGCGGAGACUCCGACCUCGUCCCGGGAGGGAAGCCAGUAGCUGAGCACCUGCGGGAGAUUAAAGAGAGGAAUAAGGAGGUGAGUACAUGACAAAGAGCCACAGUCGCAGGCGGUGGGGCCUGGCUCAGAACAGGCUGUGCUGGGAAGCGGGAGCAGGAGCUGGCGCCGCCUUGCGGGCUGGCAGAGGACCAUCCACUCCCUGGCGCUGGGGCCGUCCCAUCUCAUGGGCAAGAAACGUGAGACCCCUGGCUCGCUCCACACACAACCUAAGUGCCAGAUGGAUGAGACGCCUACGCGUGAGUAAAUGCCAGGAACAUGAGACUCGAACGUGGCAGGAUAUCCUUCUGCCCACGAAUCUAAAAGCUUACUCGGUAAUGGGAGAAUGGUUCCAAUUUGAUAAACUCGGGUUUUUGGAACGUCUGUGCUCCAGAAACACUGGAAGGCAAGUGGCUGCUGACUGGAGGAGAUAAUUGGAUGCUGCAAGCGGCAAAGGGCUCGGGAUGCAAAACACCGCAAGAAAUGCAACAAGUGAGGAGCAUUCCCGCAAAGAAAAAACGCACAGGCCGAGAGCAGUGGCUCACGCCUGU
Molecule: long non-coding RNA, 765 nt
Filed under: Homo sapiens (human)
Lineage: Eukaryota; Metazoa; Chordata; Mammalia; Primates; Hominidae
Description: non-protein coding lnc-PANO1-1:7
Source: RNAcentral